Molecule: unclassified non-coding RNA, 336 nt
Filed under: soil metagenome
Description: partial contains 5.8S ribosomal RNA, internal transcribed spacer 2, and large subunit ribosomal RNA
Rfam family: 5.8S ribosomal RNA (bases 1-120)
Source: RNAcentral
GAUGAAGAACGUAGCGAAAUGCGAUAAGUAGUGUGAAUUGCAGAAUUCAGUGAAUCAUCGAAUCUUUGAACGCACAUUGCGCCCCUUGGUAUUCCAUGGGGCAUGCCUGUUCGAGCGUCAUUUGUACCUUCAAGCUCUGCUUGGUGUUGGGUGUUUGUCUCGCCUCUGCGCGUAGACUCGCCUCAAAACAAUUGGCAGCCGGCGUAUUGAUUUCGGAGCGCAGUACAUCUCGCGCCUUGCACUCAUAACGACGACGUCCAAAAGUACAUUUUUACACUCUUGACCUCGGAUCAGGUAGGGAUACCCGCUGAACUUAAGCAUAUCAAUAAGCGAGGA